RNAcentral lists this ribosomal RNA (429 nucleotides) under uncultured Alphaproteobacteria bacterium. RNAcentral describes it as "bacterial SSU rRNA". It matches the Rfam family "Bacterial small subunit ribosomal RNA", at positions 29 to 505 of the family's 1533-position model. The record is from RNAcentral. Lineage: Bacteria; Pseudomonadati; Pseudomonadota; Alphaproteobacteria.
AACGAACGCUGGCGGCAGGCCUAACACAUGCAAGUCGAACGAACCUUCGGGUUAGUGGCGCACGGGUGCGGAACACGUGGGAAUGUACCCUCAGGUAAGGAAUAACUGCUGGAAACGGUAGCUAAUACCUCAUAAUGGCUUCGGCCCAAAGAUUUAUCGCCUGGGGAUCAGCCCGCGUCUGAUUAGAUUGUUGGUGGGGUAACGGCCUACCAAGUCGACGAUCAGUAGCUGGUCUGAGAGGACGACCAGCCACACUGGAACUGAGACACGGUCCAGACUCCUACGGGAGGCAGCAGUGAGGAAUAUUGGACAAUGGGGGCAACCCUGAUCCAGCCAUGCCGCGUGAGUGAAGAAGGCCUUAGGGUUGUAAAGCUCUUUCAAUAGUGAAGAUAAUGACGGUAGCUAUAGAAGAAGCCCCGGCUAAAUUCG